GACGAACGCUGGCGGCGUGCUUAACACAUGCAAGUCGAACGGAAAGGCCCUGCUUUUGUGGGGUGCUCGAGUGGCGAACGGGUGAGUAACACGUGAGUACCCUGCCCUUGACUUUGGGAUAACUUCAGGCAACUGGGGCUAAUCCCGGAUAGGAGCUCCUGCUGCUUGGUGGGGGUUGGAAAGUUUCGGCGGUUGGGGAUGGACUCGCGGCUUAUCAGCUUGUUGGUGGGGUAGUGGCUUACCAAGGCUUUGACGGGUAGCCGGCCUGAGAGGGUGACCGGCCACAUUGGGACUGAGAUACGGCCCAGACUCCUACGGGAGGCAGCAGUGGGGAAUAUUGCACAAUGGGCGGAAGCCUGAUGCAGCAACGCCGCGUGCGGGAUGACGGCCUUCGGGUUGUAAACCGCUUUCGCCUGUGACGAAGCGUGAGUGACGGUAAUGGGUAAAGAAGCACCGGCUAACUACGUG
Molecule: ribosomal RNA, 468 nt
Filed under: uncultured bacterium
Lineage: Bacteria
Description: partial 16S ribosomal RNA
Rfam family: Bacterial small subunit ribosomal RNA
Source: RNAcentral